This 131-nucleotide non-coding RNA is filed under the name Burkholderiales bacterium. RNAcentral describes it as "ZTP sequence". It matches the Rfam family "ZMP/ZTP riboswitch aptamer (pfl RNA motif)". From Rfam's summary of the family: Previously known as pfl RNA. ZMP is also known as AICAR. The record is from RNAcentral. Lineage: Bacteria; Pseudomonadati; Pseudomonadota; Betaproteobacteria; Burkholderiales.
AAGCCCGUACGCGACUGGCGAUAGGCGCCGAACCAGCUUGGUUCAGUGCGCCGAGGUGGGACAACCACCGGGAAGCGUGCCGCACAACCCUUGCGGGAAACUGCGUUCAGCCGUUCGCCUGGGCAGCCCUG